AUACGGAGGUAUCGAGCGUUAAUCGGAAUUACUGGGCGUAAAGCGCGCGUAGGCGGCUUUGUAAGUCGGAUGUGAAAGCCCUUUGCUCAACCUGGGAAUUGCAUUCGAUACUGCAGAGCUAGAGUAUGGUAGAGGGAAGUGGAAUUUCCGGUGUAGCGGUGAAAUGCGUAGAUAUCGGAAGGAACACCAGUGGCGAAGGCGACUUCCUGGGCCAAUACUGACGCUAAGGUGCGAAAGCGUGGGGAGCAAACAGGAUUAGAAACCCCGGUAGUCC
This 274-nucleotide ribosomal RNA is filed under the name uncultured bacterium. Its description in RNAcentral is "partial 16S ribosomal RNA". It matches the Rfam family "Bacterial small subunit ribosomal RNA", at positions 523 to 796 of the family's 1533-position model. The record is from RNAcentral.